This is a long non-coding RNA of Trachemys scripta elegans, 2174 nucleotides long. RefSeq lists it as uncharacterized. The transcript has 3 exons. Lineage: Eukaryota; Metazoa; Chordata; Testudines; Emydidae. The record is from RefSeq and is a predicted model, not a curated record.
UGUGACCUGCCUCCUCUUUCCACACAAAUUCUCUCCUCCAGAAGAGACCCCAUGAUUUCUCUGGCUACCAGCUCAUAGGGUUUAAGAGUGUUGCUCAGGGUCCAGAUUUGUUCAGGUGGCCAACAGCAGUGAAUGCAGGUACCUAUUGCGCCCCCCCCCCAUCCCGAUUUUUCACACUUGCUAUCUGGUCACCCUAAAGAAGGGAGAGCAGCCAUCCAGUGUCUCUGAAGAUCUUGGGAGAACUGAGCCACCAAGCAAGACUCCACCCAGAUGACUUCAGUGACAAGCUCAGCAAACCUGAAGCAAAAGGAGAACAGGAAGUUGGCUAUGACUUCAUCAAUGAUGAAUGAGACGGCAGCCUUUGAUCAUAACAACAGAGAAACUGGUUUGGAAAGGCUUCUGUGUCAGCCAACCAUCUUAAGGAAGAAUUCUGAGCUCAAUUCUGAAAAGGUACUAUUAAAACAAACAGUCUUGAUAUCAUGAAAUACCUAAAACCUUGAUCCUACAAGGAGAUCCACUUGCAUAGACCCAUGUGCCCAAGUGGAAUCUGAGUCAAGAUUUCCAGAACAGAGAGAUUUGAAUAAACAUUGAAAAGGAACCAAAUCUUUCAACAUUUGCCCAUCAUUAGUUUAGCAACAAAUUCUAAAAUGCUGAAAAGAAAUACUUUUCCAAAAAGGAUUAGACCUUUAUAUGGGUAACAAGAGGAUGCUAAAUUACAUUCAAUAGGACAAAAUUAGAUGGGUUGUAAACUCACAUGCUUCAGUGCAUAAACUGGCCACUAAACGAGGCGGCUUACUAAGAAAUUUCUUGUUUGCAGGUUAUUUCAUAGUGGUCCAUUAUGGGAUUUCUUUCAUUUUCCCCUGAAGCACCUGAUUACUAAUCACCAUCAGAGACAGGUAGGGCUGUUCAGAACACUGAUUUUUCCCAUGAGAAAUUUUGGAUGAAAAAAAAUCUUCAUUCUAAGUAUUUCAGCUGAAAAACUUCAGUUUUCCCAUGGGAAGUGUUGAAUGAAUUCUAAAUAAAAAUUCUCAUUUUCAAUUGACCUUUCAAAAUGAAACGACAAUAUUCAUUUUAUGUCAUCUUAAAGUAUUUUUCCAUUCUGAGCAAAGAACUGAAAAUAAUUCUAAGACAUGGUUGUUCUUCUUACUUUGAUGGUUACAAUUUUAUCUUUCAUUUACAAUUGAUUUUUCAGUUCAGCAGCUUAAUAAAAAGCUAAUAACCCUCCUACCAACCCCAAAAGCCACCCCCUCCCCAAAAUAAAUCAAACCAACCUCCCCACCCCAAAACAAACAAACAAAAACCUAGAUUUUUUUUGUUUUGGGUUGAACAAAACUUUGUUUGCCCUGUAAUAAUUUCCCCACCCCUUUAGUUAUUUUUGGGAGGGGUACAGAAACGUGUUGCCCUUUUUUGUUUGUUUUUAAAUAAAUCUAGAACAAUUUUGAAACAAAACAUUGUUUCAAAACAAAAAAGUUGAAAUGGUUUCAUUUCAAAAGUAUAAAAAUGAAACCUUUUGACUUUGAAAUACCUCCCCUCUUUUUUUUUUCUUGCUGAAACUAUUCACCAAUUUUGCUCCAGAUUCACGAAUAGUUUUGGUGCACUGCAGUUUUGGGCAAAUAAACUAAAUUUCUCUAAUUACUACUCCCAUAGCAGCAUCCACUGAAACUUCACUUACAAAUUCUACCAUUUUUUUUUUCUAAUCAUGUCAACCAUGGAAUGGAGUUUCACCUGCUCAGCAUUUAUCAAGGUAUUUCAGAGGGCAACAGGCUCUUAGGAACAUCUGCAUUAUAACUGAAUAUGAAAUUACAGAGUUACUAGACUUAAAUGGCUUGAACAACAAAUUAACUGCUGAUGAAUUAUCAUCUAGAUGAAUUUUUCUGUCUUUGUGUUUCUUUGGUCUUGAAAAAACAAGUCAAAAUUAAAAUAAUCUGUGUUGAAGUGUUGCAGUGACAGUUACUGCUGAGGAGACAUUUUCACUGUAGAAAAGGUCUAUUGCUACGAAGUCCAUUGAAGUCUGACACUGAAUGACAUAGGAGGGUGGGUUGAGAGCAUUUUAAAUAUCAAUGUUGUAUUCUUGGGACAGUGUAACCUAUGAUGAAUACAACACUUUAAUUGCAUCUUGCCAUUUGUAUGUGCUCCAAACACAAGUGAGAAGUUUGGGAUUCUAGUUGCAGGUU